GAGACUGUAAAAUGAUUUUAAAGCUAUUGCUAAUAUUUUAAUAAUUUCUUUUUAAUUUUGUUCAUAUGUUUAUUCCAUAUAUUAUAAUAGCCUUUUGCUAUAGCUGAUAAAAUUUAUGAUAAUGACUGCUUCUCUGCCCUGCAUCUUUUCUGCCUCCAUUUAUCUUUGUGCCUUAGAAGGCCCUCUGUGUGGAGGUAGGUGCAUAGCUGAUUAACACACAGUCAGUGGCAUGAUUAACACAAUGACAAUGGCUUCUCAAUCUGUUGCAGCCUUCUUCCGUCUUCACAGCCACUGUAACAUGUACCAUAUUAUCUUCUGCCUGAUCCGCCGUUGAGGUCUUCAGAUUGUGUAUGGUUUGGAACAUCCCCUGCAAGUGAAUGACUCCGGUAGUUAUGCCCACAGGUUCAUUGGAACAUGCAAGCCCCCUCACCACGACAAGGUGGCAAUCCAUCGAGGGGGUGUAUUAACCAACAAUGCUGUAUUUUACAUGCUGUAUUAUUGCUAUGUCUUAAUCAACAAUAGCAAUAAUACAACAUGUAGAGUCAUAAAUUGUGCUUCCUUAUAACUUAACUACUUGGCAACAACAAGCUUUCCAACUCAGAUUCAGAUCUUUGUGCUCAAAUCAAUAUAGUGAGGAUGAUGUGCCUGGGAGCACCAACAUUGUUCAAUCUUCCUAUAUUCUCCUAGGAGCUCUUAUACAAUUUGUGUUAUCUGUACAAGAACUCACAGUCAUAAACAAAAAUUACAUUACAUUCACACCAACAAAAUUAAAUUAAACAUUGAACAUGCACAGAACCCCAUUUUACACUGCAAGUUAGAGAAAAGCUUCUGUAAUAGACACAGGUUUACUUAUUGACCAUAUUUAUACUCUGGGCCAAUAUAUAAAUCACUGGGACAUCACUAGAAACCAAAUAUCUAUUCAAUCUACCCAUUCAAAGAAAAGCAGUUUUAUUGCAUUGACACCGAUGUGAACCACGCAGGACUGAUCUUUCUCUCUACAAAAAUGGGCAAAAAGCAGCAUAUGGUUUUGCUUUCUUCUAAAUGUUUUCUCAUAUGUCUAGUUAGGUGAUCUAGUUGAAAAUGAAGGGUUCACUGAAAACACAAAAAUAAAUGUAGUGUGGCUAGUUUUGCUCAAGGAGGAAUUUCUCAGUUUGACUAGAAUCUUACUAGAUUGCUUUUCUUUUGAGUAUCUGUUAUCAUUUCAGAGACUUUAGAGACUAUAAGCAUGUAAGCACACUAUAAAGAUAAACCAGUGAAGAGUGGAUUUCAUCCACAUGAACCAAAUAAGUAUGAAAGUGCAAAGGGAAUUAUUUUGGAAAAUGUAAUAGGAAGGGGAAAGAUAAAAUACAUGUUUACACAUACAGAAAGAAAAUAAUGACAACUCUCAACUACUGUAUAAGAAAACCCAGCAUGGCCUCCCAGCAUACAUACAGAUGAAUGUUUGAAUUAAAAGCCGAAAAUCAUUCCAGAAAUAUAGCAAGAGGUAGAAUUUUUGCCAGAAAAAUAGCAUGGACUACACUCGGUUGAAUUCAUGGGCUUUUGGGUUGGCUUGUUCUUGCAUGUACAAUCAAAAGCCACUGAAAGAAUGGGAUAGGGAUACAUAGUUAUUUUUUGUCUACAUAAUAGUAGCUUACUAACUUAUUAACAUACUAACAGAUUAAAUUAUUUUUUAGAUUUCUUAGAUAAUAAUUAAAAUUAGAUAAAGAUUUAAAAUAAAAUACCUGACAAGAAUAAUGAGUGAUAUUAGAACAACAAUAUACAGAAUACUAUGAGGUAUGUGGAUUUGACAUAUUUACUCACCUGGAGGAAUAUAUAUAUUAGUGAGUCUCAAAACCAUCAAAUGUUACAAGUCCUGUAAUGUUAAGAAGUCUUCCUAUUUUCAGCUGGAAAAUUGUAUUUGUGGUCUAGCUCUUUUGGAGUGGCAUGUUGUAACCCUUUCCUUCUUUGUUUUAUGGGAUUUUAGGUUUCAUCAAAGUGAUACAUGCUAUUACACUACGCUUUGUUACUUCAAUGUUCUAUGUCCAUCAGAUGAUCACAUCACCCUAAUUCAUUAGGUAGUAUGCUAGUAAGCAAUGCUGCUCUUUAGUGCGUAUGUGGAAAAUAUGCAAUAUAGAUAUAUAGCGAGAGAUACCUGAUUUUUUUUUAAAAAAAACCCUCUUCUUGGUAGCAUAGCUAUGGAGACUAUCAUACACUUGAGAGGUAUGUAUAGUGUCAUUGUGGUAGUGCAGAUGUAAAUUAAUUACAAAUCCAUUUUUCGCUAUCUACCUGUGUCACUUCCUUGUCAAUUCUAUGGCUAUCUUACCCUCAAUAUGGGCUGUAAUAAGUUCAGGCUCACAUCUUCUUAGGUAAGCUGCAAUUGUCAAAAACAUUAAAUGUACUCCUGUCUUUUAAAUCACAAGAGGGAAAUACUGGCUGCAGAGAGCACUUGUUUCAAUGAGCUCUUCAAUUUAAAGGUAACAGUGCAGAAGCUGACCAUUUGCAGAGGAGACUUUGUUAGCUGAGGCAAGGCAUGUCACUCAAAUGAGCUUAGCUGAGACAGUAAGGCUUUUGCAGCCAGAAUGUCUAAGGUCUGUGCACUGGAUUGUAAGGUCAGUUGACCUCACUCAGGCUGUGGAAUCAACUGGCAGAGUUCAAGCCAAUACUGCAGCACCUUGAGGUCACCUUUACUCUAGGGUCUGCUCUGGCUGUCCAGCUGAAAAUGGGAAGACUUCCUAAUGAUCUAGUACAAGACCAACUUAUAGGGGCCUCAUAUAUGUAUGUAUGUAUGUGUGUGUGUGUGUGUGUGUGUGUGUGUGUGUGUAUAUAUAUAUAUAUAUAUACACAUAUAUUCCUUGUCCAGGUGAGUAAAUAUGUCAAAUAUGUCAAAUCCACAUACAUCACAGUAUUCUGUAUAUUGUUGUUUUGAUAUCAUAUUUUCAUUUGUUUUUGCUUCUAGCUGGACAAAUCUUCCCUGGAUGGCAAUAUCUUUCUCAGUGCUACAACCUAGAGUCAUCUAAGGCAGUGGUUCUCAACCUGUGGGUCCCAAGGUGUUUUGGUCUACAACUCCCAGAAAUCCCAGCCAGUUUACCAGCUGUCAGGAUUUCUGGGAAUUAAAGGCCAAAACAUCUGGAGACCCACAGGUUGAGAACCACUGAUCUAAGGAAAUUAGAGAGCUGGCACUUUUCACACUGCACAUUUAGCACACAAAGAAGGAAAAGUGGCAUUAAAAUUCAACACUAUACACAUUUCUUUGCUGGUCUGCCUCUUCUCCAUGAAUAACAUGUUGCUCACUAUUGACAUGCAAAGUCCAUUAGUAGCUGCCAAUCCUGCAACAUUCCUGUCGAUUUCUUUGUGUGAUGGGGCUGUUCAGGUUUUGUGUCAGGACUACAAUAACAUCAAGAGGCAGGAUUCCCCUCUUCUUCAGAUUUUCCUUUGCUAUUUCAGAGCCAUUUUUAAAUUUUACUUUACUUUGAUUUUCUUAAUUAACCACCACUGGAAUUGCAAAAAUUGCUUAAAAUAAUAAGGAAAAUUGCAGAGCAGUCAUAAGACAGGAAGGCAGGGUUAUGAGGGUAUUUGGGAGUAAGAUAGCAGGGUCAUGGUUCAACAAAUCAGUGUUACUGCACAAAUGGAAAGAGAUGCAAGGAUGCUUGUGCCAGCAUGUGUCCGUUAUUGCUACUCACAGAACAGCUUCAUGAGAGAUAUUCCAUAUACUGCUACAAAAUAUAACGGGUUUUAGGCAAUGUAUACAAGUUAAAACUGAUACAACUGGGAAAGCCCCAUUAUCUAGAAAUCUGGAAUAUAAUUUAACCAUCAAUAAAAAUAGUCUAAAGCAUUGCCAUUAAAAAGAAGAAUGACAAAUAAAAACAGCACAGUUUAUGAAAGGCCCUUUCACCCAGGGCAGUCAGUCCUCAAGGGUCUGAUGAAACAAAAAUGUUUUCACCCAUUUAUAAAAGGAUAGAAAAUAAAAUGCCAUUCAAUUCUUUAUAGGAAAGGAGUUCCUAUGAAAUCUCAGGCUGGAUCUACACUGCCAUAUAAAAUCCAGAUUAACUGCUUUGACCUGGAUUAUAUGGCAGUGUAGACUCAUAUAAUUCAGUUCUAAGUAGAUAAUGAACCUUUGAGGGUAGUACAACAGAGCAAAUGUGUUCUAAGAUCUAUGAAAUCUUCAUAACUGGCUGAUCUCUGUGGGCAUUUUCUCACUGACACUAUAUGUCUGCAAUGUCAUUAAUGGUAUAAAAGGGCACAUAUUGUUCUGUCUGAAGUUUGUCUAGAUAGGUAUGGCACCUAUCUAGAUAGGUAUGUGCUUAGAUAAGCACAGAAGGGGGUGGGGAAUGAGUGGUAGGACACUCAGAGGAUGUUGAACUUAAGUGUCCCAGUACUGAUAAUGCUGGCCUGGGCUGGUGCAACAACACAACAUCUGAGAAUCAUACCUAUCUCGUGCCAUACCACAAGAUCCUUAUUUCAUGCUCCCAAUUUUGUAAUACUCUUAAUGGAUUGUAGGAACUGUUUCUGCCUUCUAUAACAAAUGAAAAUUUGUGAUGACUGUUUGGUUGGCACAUGAAAAACUUGCCUCAUCUUUGUCUCAGGAGAUUUCCACAGCUAAUAAUGAACGAAACUAAGCUUUCUCUAUGCUGUACAAUAACGUCGGAAGCGUAGCUCUAGUUUCAAAACCUGUGAUGUAUCUGUUGAAGACUUCAGUGGAAAAAGAUCUGAUCAAAAAUAUUAAAUGUGUAAAUAAAAAAUGAAGCCAUAAAUGACCACACAUCAUACAACAACAAAAAAAAAAUCCCACUGCACUCUGCACAGUGCAUUUAUGAUCUAUUUUUAGAAGUCUUUGCUUUUUAUGUGAUUCAGCAUGUUCUUGACUUAACUGUUGUUAGUGUAGACCCAUUUUAAAACCCAUUAGGUUCUACAAUAUUCACUUCAGCUGAAUUGCAUCUGUUCAGGCUUUAGUGUGUAAUACAAUGUCUUCCGAAUUCUAUGGGACUCAUGGUAUUCCUCUGAGCUGGAAAUCAUUUUGAAUGGCAAAAACAUUUCCAGGGGAAAAUGAGUUUGAUUCUUCAGCUUGAUUCUUCCUUGUCAUUUCAUUCUUGUGAUUCAAGAAUGAAAUAGCUAUGGAAUCAGUAUUUCAUGUCUUUGCACUUUUGACUUUAAAAAGUCAUUUCUUUUUAAACUAUUCUUAACUCAGGUUAGAAAUGCAGUACUCUGUAUCAGGUGUGGUUUGAGAGAGGAAUAGAGUUGUAUUUCUUAACUUCUUUUGUGACCAAAUCAACAAAACAUUUAAUUUCAGUUACCUGUAUUUAAAGUUAAUGGAAUUAAUUGUCUAUCUCCUGACUUCUAAUCCUGAAAAGAGGCAAAUUUCAGUUUUCAAGAAAAACUGAUAAUAUACAUUAUGAGUACAUUGAUAUUGUUAUAACGUUACCUUAUAUGCAAAAUUACAUAAAAUCUAUUAUGCAUAACCUAAUGCAUGUACUGUAUAUUCAGAACUCAGUUUCAUUGAGUUUUUCCCAACCUGGACUUUCCAGGUUACCAGAGAAGCCUGGCUGCAUGUGCAAGCCCUUUGAAGAAAACUUCUGAUGCAUCCAAAUGAUGUAUUGGGAGGUUGGACGUGACAGAAGUAUCAGAGCGGCUUUGCUAGGCACACGCAGCAGAAGUCGCUGACGAAGAAGCUCUGCAUAAAUAACGACGCUGCAGUCUUCGGUUAUCUAUCAAAAUGUUUACUUACUAAUGGAAAUCUCACAAGACGAUACACAGCUCUCACGCAGGCACACACGGGAAGGUGCAGAGAGAAAAAAAUAGGAAGUAGAGGGCUAUUUAUCUCAUCCUCUGCUGUCUGAUGCAAUCCAAGUUUAACCCUUUACACACUUGCAUAGUAGGCAGCACACAGUGUAUGAUGCAAUCUCCAGCUCACAUUGCACAACCAUGACUCAAUUACAUUUAAACAACUCUAUAUACAAUCAUUCUCACUUUAACAAGAAGCUGUCUUUGUGGGACCUAUAAAUGCAACCAGGUAAGUUUUUGGGGGCAGCUGGGAAGGGAGAGUGGGGGUGCCAGAGCCUGAAGAACCAGGAUGGCAAUGGGGAUUGACCCGGAAUCGUGGAACAUGGUCCUAGGAAUCUUCAUCACAAUUCCAGUUUACUCCAGAUUAAUUCAGGUUUAUCUGUGUUGUUUGGAUGCCUCAGGUAAACACAUGACCUGUCGUGGGUUAUGGGCCUGUGGUGUCGUGGCAGGGGUGAUUAUCCCAACAAAUAGCUCCUCUCCCUGAUUCCAUGAAUGCUCUGGGAUAGCAGCUUUGUGUGGUGAAGCCCUUAAUCUCUUUGAGCUGAGCUGUGUUUGCUUCUCAGUAGAUGUACAUAGGACCAUGUUCUUAUUUCUCAUUUGAAAAUUCCGAUAGUAUGAAAUACAUGGCUGUGCAGUUCAUAUGCAUUUUUGUACUACAUGUGGCUUUAUUCCUCAGAAGACCAAGUAGCUGCAUGAUAGAUAUUUCACAUUAAAAAGAUGCCUUUUGCACUUGAAGAGCUUACUGCAAACUCCUGUAGGGAUUAAAAGAUGACAAAGGGUUUAAAUUUAUAUAUCCUAAAAAGCCUUUCAUUUGACUCCAAAUUGAAGGAGGGAUUGAAGACUUUCUUACUGAUGCGAGGGCCGCGGGGGGGGGGGGGGUUCUUUCUUUUCUCUUUUUCUGGAUCACAGAUAUCUAGUCAAUGUCUUUUUGUUAAUAUCCAUCUGCAAAGGAUUCCAUAUGCAGUCAACUACUCUUGUGUUCUAUUUUUACAGCUUCAAGGGGCAUCCCAGCCAUGUGAAGUUGAAUCCUACUGUGCUGACAUUUGGCAGACUGCCAGCAUCAUUCUGCCUCUUUCUUGGACUAUGCUUUUUGAGAAGGAAUGCCAAUAGAUUGACUGGGGUGCUGGAUAGAACAGUUAAAAUGAUAAAUUAUUUGAAAGUCGAGGGAGAUAGGAAGAAAUUUAAAAGAUACCAGACAUGUUCAAUCUCGGAAGCCUAUCAGGCAUAAUGCAGAAGCUCUGGAGAACUCCCUGGUACAUCAACCUGGGAAGUAGGGAGUGCAUAUAUACUGUAGUAUUAAUGCAGUUUAAUACCACUUUAAAUGCCAUGGCUUAAUCAUCAGAAUAGUUUUACAAGGUCUUUUAACAUUUUCUGUCAAGUAGUUCUGAUGCCUCACCAUCCUACAACUCCCAUGAGCCAUGGCAGUUAAAGUGGUGUCAAAUUAGAUUACUUUGACAGAUUAGAUCAGGUAUAGUCCAACUUCAGCCCUUCAGGUGUUUUGGACUUCAACUCCAGCUGUUAAGAAUUGUGGGAGUUGAAGUCCAAAACACCUGGAGGCUGCCCAUGCUUAGUGUAGAUCAAUGAUUCCCAAAGUGGGCGCUACUACCUCCUGGUGGGUGCUGCAGCGAUUCAGGGGGACAGUGAUGGCACCUAUUAGGACACGGGGGUGGGGCCAGGGGAGGGGAGGGGCCUCUUCCCCAGUGCCGGAGACAGGGCUGAGCCCCUGAACCGUCUGUUAGGACACAGGGGGCGGAGCUAGAGGAGUGGGCAUGGCUUCUUCCCAAGAGCCCGAGACAGGGCUGAGCCUCUAUACCUUUCCUGAGAGUCCUUUUACGACUAAAGGGUGGGGUUAGGGGUGGGGGCGGUGCCUCUUCCCAAGAGCGCAAGGCAGGGCUGAGCCUCUGUAUACCUCUCCUGAGGCGCUUGUUAGAACACAGGGGCGGGGUAUAGAGGUUCAGCCCCAUCAGGCACUUGGGAAGAGGCCCCACCCCCUCCUCUAUCCCCGCCCCCUGUGUCAUGGCAGGUGCCACAGGACAUGGAUAGAAGCUCAGCCCUGCCUCAGAGCUCGUAACUCCGCCCAUCCCAGCCCUGGCCACCCAAUUGCAGCCCCGCCCACCUCCACCUCCCCCUCCCCCUCCCAGCCCUGCAUCUUGGACUAGGGAAGAGGCUCAGUCCUGCCCACUUGAGCAGGAGCCAUGCCCACCCCUCUAAGCCAUGCCCCCUUUCCAGGGGGAACUGAGUAAUAUUUUUUCUGGAAAGAGGGUGGUAGGCCAAAUAAGUUUGGGAACUACUGGUGUAGAUUCAUUAAAAAAAGCCAGGCCCAUUAUUAGGCAAAGUGAGACAGCAACCUCAACCGGUUGAUUAUGGAUGUGAUGAGAUAACAAUAAUUUGUUAGUUAUUUGAUAUAUUACUGUAGCAUUCUUAUAGCUCUGGAGAAGUUUUUGUGGAUUUUCUAUCAAAGUAAUUUGACAGGCUUUAGGUACUGUGCAACUUGAUUAACAAUACAGGGCGAGGAAGCCAGAAAUCAUUCGUAAGACAGAAAAAAUGUCUUGAGAUGGCCCUAGGUACAUAGAUACUUAGAGUACGAUGGAGGUGAAACAAGACUAGUAACAAAGAAUUAGGGUAUAUAUUUUCAUUUAAUAAAGAAGGAAGGUUAAACCACAUUGGGGCAUUUAAUUUCAAUGCUGAAAUGAAUGAAUGAAUGAAUGUGUAUAAAAUCUGAGACUCUCAUUCAUACCUAUUAAGGUCUCUCAUAAAUAUUUCAAUUUGGGGGGACUUAGUAAUUGCUUCCUGCCAUUUCAUUUAUGCUGCUACCUGCACUAGGAGCCCCCGUGGUGCAAUUGGUUAAACCCUUGUGCUGGCAGGACUGCUGACCAAAAGGUUGGUGGUUCAGAUCCAGUGAGCAGAGUGAGCCCCUAUCUGUCAGCUCCAGCUUCCCAUGAAGGGACAUGAGAGAAGCCUCCCAGAGGAUGGUAAAACAUCCAGGCAUCCCCUGGGCAACAUCCUUGCAGAUGGCCAAUUCUCUCACACCAGAAGAAACUUGCAGUUUCUCAAGUCGCUCCUGACACACACACAAAAACUCCCUGGACUGUUUGAGGGCAAAUAAAAAGGUAGGAAUAACAAAGAAUAGCUAAAAUGGCACAAUAAUUAACAUAACAUGUAGGUAAAAAUUACUAAUUAUUAAUUUGCAACAAGAACUCAAUACAAAGUGUUUAUAGUGCAUGCAUAUUUUUAAAUGGAAAAAAAAGAAGUGAGUCAUUUUUUUAAAAAAAUGCAUGUUGCGACAUGGAUGUAGCUCCAAGGUUCCAUGUUGUGAAAGCAAUAUUGAGCAUGAUGCUCAUGGGUUUGUUUGUUUUUUUGGGGGGGGGGGGAUGAGACUAGUAAAAGACUUACAUUUGGCCUUCAUUAUACAAAUCAUCUUUUUUAUUAAAAAAUAUGUUGGGGAUAUUUCCUUAAUUAAGAAUAUUUCUGCACAUCAUGAAGCCUAAUUAGCACAGCCAUUUGAAAAAAUAAGAUUAAGGGUGUUAUUUUUUCCAUUUUAUGCCUUUGCUUAUUCACCCUAGCAAGGAAGUGUUAUAAAUUAAUAAUAUGUAUAUACAUCAGAAUGAUAACUACUGUCGAUUUGUGAUAUCUAGUUUGUUAACAUUGCUUUUGUUCAUAAAUGUGUGAAAUUUCAUAUACAAAACAAAUUAACCAAAGAUUAAUGUAAUGCAGCUUUGAUUUAGUUCAAACUAAAACUUGCAGUUAUGAAACUUAUAUUUUUUGCUUGUAGGGAGAGGCAGGGAUGCCCUUUCCUGCUGAUAUCUACUGAUGUAGGGAAUAAAUAUCAGAUAUACAGGUAAAGGUUUUCCCCUGACAUUAAGUCAUGUCCGACUCUGGGGGUUGGUGCUCAUCUCUAUUUCUAAGUCAAAGAGUCAGCAUUGUCCGUAGACACCUCCAAUGUGGCCGGCAUGACUGCAUGAAGCACUGUUACCUAUUGAUCGAUUCACAUUUGCAUGUUUUCAAACUGCUAGGUUGGCAGAAGCUGGAGCUGACAGCAGGAGCUUAUCCCACUCCCUGGAUGUGAACUGGCAACCUUUCAGUCAGCAAGGUCUAACUGCCAGCUGCUGUCCACAGCUUCUGAUAGGAGAAUUUCCCAGGCCUAUCUGAAGAAGAUAACAACUCAACCUGAGAGAUUGUACAUGUAAAUACAUUCUGGACCACUGAACUGAGAGCAUUCCUCUACACAGUGCCAUGUCAGUGGGGCAGUGAAUCUCUUCUGGCUGCUAAACUAAAAUAUCCCAGCUGUUGAAUCUUUUUAGAGAUAGAUUUCAACUUCUUGGGUAACCCAUUAAAAUGUGAGCUAAAAGAAUUCAGUACUCUACUGACACAUAAGUUAAAAGUCAACACUGUCUGACAACUUUUCAGUACAUUUUCCUGUUCCAGGUUCACACUGAACUCCAUGUCAUGGUAUGAGGGUGUUGUUUUAAUGCAUUAGGUCAAGAUUCUACAUCACAGUCUGCAUUUGCAUAACUUUAAAGCUCCUUAGCUAAUGGCAAAAGCGCACCAGAUCCUGGUAGUGAUUUGCGCUUGUAUAUCUAGGAACCAGUCAGAGUGGACUGAUGCACAUUAGGCUCUUUUGCUGUGUUGGGCUCUUCUAAUGCACAAUUGGACAAUUCCGAUGUCCAUCUGGUCCCAUUGCCAGAGACAGCAACAACAAUCUUUUUCUGGGCACUUGACAUGAAGCAACAGAGUUGUGGUUUAUGGGAGUGUUGUUAUCUAUGCCUACUACCAUGUAUGUUUAUAAAUAAAUCCAAAUAUUAUUA
This is a long non-coding RNA of Anolis carolinensis (green anole), 10562 nucleotides long. RefSeq lists it as uncharacterized. The record is from RefSeq and is a predicted model, not a curated record. Lineage: Eukaryota; Metazoa; Chordata; Lepidosauria; Squamata; Anolidae. The transcript is spliced from 2 exons.